GCUAAGUUUGAUGGCGACCGGCGCACGGGUGAGUAACACGUAUCCAACCUGCCGAUGACUCGGGGAUAGCCUUUCGAAAGAAAGAUUAAUACCCGAUGGCAUAGUUCUUCCGCAUGGUAGAACUAUUAAAGAAUUUCGGUCAUCGAUGGGGAUGCGUUCCAUUAGGUUGUUGGCGGGGUAACGGCCCACCAAGCCUUCGAUGGAUAGGGGUUCUGAGAGGAAGGUCCCCCACAUUGGAACUGAGACACGGUCCAAACUCCUACGGGAGGAAGCAUG
RNAcentral lists this ribosomal RNA (276 nucleotides) under uncultured bacterium. RNAcentral's name for it is "partial 16S ribosomal RNA". It matches the Rfam family "Bacterial small subunit ribosomal RNA", at positions 77 to 353 of the family's 1533-position model. The record is from RNAcentral.